ACCUUAACUAUUGCUUUGAAGUGACAACCCUAAUUGAACGUGUAAGAUAUGUAGAACCUAUGCAACCAAUCCCUAAAGACCACUCUUUUGUAUAAGAAUUCCUAACCACCACACAAUGGGUGAGGCUGGACAUUCAUAGGUGGGUAGUUUAUUUGGGAACAAAUGCCUCCUAAAGAGUAAUUCGGGUGUGCAAAAUUAAGAUCGAAAUAAUAUUCUACUCGUGAACUUAAUUGUAUAAAUUUUCAAGAUAGUGAGAACAGCUAAUCAAACAAAGAUGAAGUCGAUCAUAGUGAUUUCAGAGUCUUGUGUACGAUAGCUUUUACUCGACGGAUCAUUGAUAC
This 341-nucleotide ribosomal RNA is filed under the name Olea europaea subsp. europaea. RNAcentral describes it as "Bacterial large subunit ribosomal RNA". Lineage: Eukaryota; Viridiplantae; Streptophyta; Magnoliopsida; Lamiales; Oleaceae. The record is from Rfam by way of RNAcentral.